GUUGGGUUAUCCUAUGGUAUUUGCUCCUUGACAACCAUUCUCAAGCAUCCACAACCUCACACUCAUAGGGGGUGUUUGGUUUGUAACCAAAAUCAGAAUGGAAAUCGAAAUCUAAAUGGCUGGGAAUUGGAAUCGAAAUGGACAAAUCCUCUGAAGCGUUUGGUUCGUGACUGGAAUCGGAAUCAAAAUUGGAAUAAAAAUUUGAAUCCAUAGAGGAGAGU
Molecule: long non-coding RNA, 221 nt
Filed under: Elaeis guineensis (African oil palm)
Lineage: Eukaryota; Viridiplantae; Streptophyta; Magnoliopsida; Arecales; Arecaceae
Description: long non-coding RNA (EGUI_LNC004809)
Source: RNAcentral